GGUGCACGCUCUGUUUACACAUCCACUCACACCUGAUGCACCCUCUGUAGUUCCUGUGGUUUGGGAGACCCCGUCUUCCUUCCAUGGCUCUACGUCUUUACACACACACCGUAGUGAAGUUUUAUGGAAUGUUUUUCUGCGUUUAACGCAAUACAAUACAACUUUCAGCAACGGAUCUCUUGGCUCUCGCAUCGAUGAAGAACGCAGCGAAAUGCGAUAAGUAAUGUGAAUUGCAGAAUUCAGUGAAUCAUCGAAUCUUUGAACGCNCCUUGCGCCCCUUGGUUAUUCCUCGGGGCAUGCCUGUUUGAGUAUCAUGAACACCUCAACUCUCAUGGUCUUCCAUGACGAGCUUGGAUUUUGGAGGUUUGCUGGCCCUGCCNCCGGCUCCUCUCAAAUGAAUCAGCAUGCCAGUGUUUGGUGGCGUCAUGGGUGUGAUAACUAUCUACAUUCGUGGCCGUCUGCCAGGUAACCCUCANCGAUGAAGGUUCAUUGGGGCUCNCAAANGUCUCUCCAUUGUGGGGACAACUUUUGAACGUUCGAUCUCAAAAUCAGGUAGGGCUACCCCGCUGAACUUAAGCAAAAUCAAUAAGCGGGAGGAAAGAAAACUAAACNANGGAUUC
This 620-nucleotide ribosomal RNA is filed under the name uncultured Thelephoraceae. Its description in RNAcentral is "eukaryotic LSU rRNA". The stretch from base 160 to 314 matches the Rfam family "5.8S ribosomal RNA". The record is from RNAcentral. Lineage: Eukaryota; Fungi; Basidiomycota; Agaricomycetes; Thelephorales; Thelephoraceae.